GAUGAACGCUGGCGGCGUGCUUAACACAUGCAAGUCGAACGGAAAGGCCGAAGCUUGCUUCGGUACUCGAGUGGCGAACGGGUGAGUAACACGUGGGUGAUCUGCCCUGUACUUCGGGAUAAGCUUGGGAAACUGGGUCUAAUACCGGAUAUGACGAUCCCUUGGAUGGGGUUGUGGAAAGCUUUUGCGGUAUGGGAUGAGCUCGCGGCCUAUCAGCUUGUUGGUGGGGUAAUGGCCUACCAAGGCGUCGACGGGUAGCCGGCCUGAGAGGGUGUACGGCCACAUUGGGACUGAGAUACGGCCCAGACUCCUACGGGAGGCAGCAGUGGGGAAUAUUGCACAAUGGGCGCAAGCCUGAUGCAGCGACGCCGCGUGGGGGAUGACGGCCUUCGGGUUGUAAACUCCUUUCGCAAUCGACGAAGCCUUUUGGUGACGGUAGGUUGAGAAGAAGCACCGGCUAACUACGUG
This 468-nucleotide ribosomal RNA is filed under the name uncultured bacterium. RNAcentral describes it as "partial 16S ribosomal RNA". It matches the Rfam family "Bacterial small subunit ribosomal RNA", at positions 28 to 507 of the family's 1533-position model. The record is from RNAcentral.